RNAcentral lists this long non-coding RNA (249 nucleotides) under Fukomys damarensis (Damara mole-rat). RNAcentral describes it as "lncRNA (ENSFDAG00000029523.1)". The record is from RNAcentral. Lineage: Eukaryota; Metazoa; Chordata; Mammalia; Rodentia; Bathyergidae.
GGCGGGGCGGGGCCUGAAAGAGUCUAGGGAGGGCUUUGAGUGCUGGGCAGGAGUGUUAGGCAGAUGCUUUGGUGGAGGCUGAAGGCUUGGGCAGGGCUAGGCACAGAGUCAGGGUCUUGGGGCAAGGAAUGGGCAGAAUCAGGAUGCAGAGCUGGGCUGGAGACAGGAUUUGACAGUAUAGAAAGAAAAACAACAUCACUUUAUUGGAGUGAAAAAUAGGGAACAAAAUCACUUUGUUGGGAAAAGGAG